GAUGAACGCUGGCGGCGUGCUUAACACAUGCAAGUCGAACGGAAAGGCCUCAGCUUGCUGGGGUACUCGAGUGGCGAACGGGUGAGUAACACGUGGGUGAUCUGCCCUGCACUUUGGGAUAAGCCCGGGAAACUGGGUCUAAUACCGAAUAUGACCACUUCUUGGAUGUUGUGGUGGAGAGCUUUUGCGGUGUGGGAUGAGCCUGCGGCCUAUCAGCUUGUUGGUGGGGUAAUGGCCUACCAAGGCGGCGACGGGUAUCCGGCCUGAGAGGGUGUACGGACACAUUGGGACUGAGAUACGGCCCAGACUCCUACGGGAGGCAGCAGUGGGGAAUAUUGCACAAUGGGCGCAAGCCUGAUGCAGCGACGCCGCGUGGGGGAUGAAGGCCUUCGGGUUGUAAACUCCUUUCGCUAUCGACGAAGCCACUUGUGGUGACGGUAGGUAGAUAAGAAGCACCGGCUAACUACGUGCCAGCCGCCGCGGUAA
RNAcentral lists this ribosomal RNA (486 nucleotides) under uncultured bacterium. RNAcentral describes it as "partial 16S ribosomal RNA". It matches the Rfam family "Bacterial small subunit ribosomal RNA", at positions 28 to 523 of the family's 1533-position model. The record is from RNAcentral.